AACGAACGCUGGCGGCAUGCCUAACACAUGCAAGUCGAACGAGACCUUCGGGUCUAGUGGCGCACGGGUGCGUAACGCGUGGGAACCUGCCCUUAGGUUCGGAAUAACUCCCCGAAAGGGGUGCUAAUACCGGAUAAUGUCUUCGGACCAAAGAUUUAUCGCCUUUGGAUGGGCCCGCGUUGGAUUAGCUAGUUGGUAGGGUAAAAGCCUACCAAGGCGACGAUCCAUGGCUGGUCUGAGAGGAUGAUCAGCCACACUGGGACUGAGACACGGCCCAGACUCCUACGGGAGGCAGCAGUGGGGAAUAUUGGACAAUGGGCGAAAGCCUGAUCCAGCAAUGCCGCGUGAGUGAUGAAGGCCUUAGGGUUGUAAAGCUCUUUUACCCGGGAUGAUAAUGACAGUACCGGGAGAAUAAGCUCCGGCUAACUCCGUG
Molecule: ribosomal RNA, 433 nt
Filed under: uncultured bacterium
Lineage: Bacteria
Description: partial 16S ribosomal RNA
Rfam family: Bacterial small subunit ribosomal RNA
Source: RNAcentral